This 600-nucleotide ribosomal RNA is filed under the name uncultured bacterium. RNAcentral's name for it is "bacterial SSU rRNA". It matches the Rfam family "Bacterial small subunit ribosomal RNA", at positions 737 to 1340 of the family's 1533-position model. The record is from RNAcentral.
UAACUGACGCUGAGGCACGAAAGCGUGGGGAUCAAACAGGAUUAGAUACCCUGGUAGUCCACGCCGUAAACGAUGAUGACUAACCGCCGGUCCGAUAGGGUCGGUGGCCAAGCGAAAGCGAUAAGUCAUCCACCUGGGGAGUACGACCGCAAGGUUGAAACUCAAAGGAAUUGACGGGGGCCCGCACAAGCGGAGGAACAUGUGGUUUAAUUCGAUGAUACGCGAGGAACCUUACCCGGGCUCGAACGGCAAGUGAAGAGAGACAGAGAUGUUGACGUCCUUCGGGACACUUGUCGAGGUGCUGCAUGGUUGUCGUCAGCUCGUGCCGUGAGGUGUCGGCUCAAGUGCCAUAACGAGCGCAACCCCUGCUUCCAGUUACCAGCGCGUAAAGGUGGGGACUCUGGAGGGACUGCCACCGCAAGGUGAGAGGAAGGGGAGGAUGACGUCAAAUCAGCACGGCCCUUACGUCCGGGGCGACACACGUGUUACAAUGGCGGCCACAGAGGGAAGCUACCCUGCGAGGGGAUGCGGAUCCCGAAAAGCCGUCUCAGUUCGGAUCGGAGUCUGCAACUCGACUCCGUGAAGCUGGAUUCGCUAGUA